GUCUUUUGAGGUGCAUCAAGC
RNAcentral lists this non-coding RNA (21 nucleotides) under Rattus norvegicus (Norway rat). Lineage: Eukaryota; Metazoa; Chordata; Mammalia; Rodentia; Muridae. The record is from RNAcentral.